Molecule: transfer RNA, 73 nt
Filed under: Ailuropoda melanoleuca (giant panda)
Lineage: Eukaryota; Metazoa; Chordata; Mammalia; Carnivora; Ursidae
Rfam family: tRNA
About the family: Transfer RNA (tRNA) molecules are approximately 80 nucleotides in length. Their secondary structure includes four short double-helical elements and three loops (D, anti-codon, and T loops).
Source: Rfam by way of RNAcentral
GCCUAGCUGGCUCAGUUGGUAGAGCACGUGAAUCUUGAUUUUGGAGUUGUGAGUUUGAGCCCCACACUGGGUG